GGAUGCGAUCAUACCAGCACUAAUGCACCGGAUCCCAUCAGAACUCCGAAGUUAAGCGUGCUUGGGCGAGAGUAGUACUAGGAUGGGUGACCCCCUGGGAAGUCCUCGUGUUGCAUCCC
Molecule: ribosomal RNA, 119 nt
Organism: Ipomoea nil (Japanese morning glory)
Lineage: Eukaryota; Viridiplantae; Streptophyta; Magnoliopsida; Solanales; Convolvulaceae
Source: Rfam